AUUGAACGCUGGCGGCAUGCCUUACACAUGCAAGUCGAACGGUAACAGGUCCUCGGAUGCUGACGAGUGGCGAACGGGUGAGUAAUACAUCGGAACGUGCCUAGUAGUGGGGGAUAACUACUCGAAAGAGUGGCUAAUACCGCAUGAGAUCUACGGAUGAAAGCAGGGGAUCGCAAGACCUUGUGCUACUAGAGCGGCCGAUGGCAGAUUAGGUAGUUGGUGGGAUAAAAGCUUACCAAGCCGACGAUCUGUAGCUGGCCUGAGAGGACGAUCAGCCACACUGGGACUGAGACACGGCCCAGACUCCUACGGGAGGCAGCAGUGGGGAAUUUUGGACAAUGGGCGAAAGCCUGAUCCAGCAAUGCCGCGUGCUGGAUGAAGGCCUUCGGGUUGUAAACUGCUUUUGUACGGAACGAAAAGCUCUGGGUUAAUACCCUGGGGUCAUGACGGUACCGUAAGAAUAAGCACCGGCUAACUACGUGCCAGCCGCCGCCGUAA
RNAcentral lists this ribosomal RNA (498 nucleotides) under uncultured bacterium. RNAcentral's name for it is "partial 16S ribosomal RNA". It matches the Rfam family "Bacterial small subunit ribosomal RNA", at positions 30 to 523 of the family's 1533-position model. The record is from RNAcentral.